This is a small nuclear RNA of 162 nucleotides. Its record names the gene U1. It matches the Rfam family "U1 spliceosomal RNA". Rfam says of the family: U1 is a small nuclear RNA (snRNA) component of the spliceosome (involved in pre-mRNA splicing). Its 5' end forms complementary base pairs with the 5' splice junction, thus defining the 5' donor site of an intron. There are significant differences in sequence and secondary structure between metazoan and yeast U1 snRNAs, the latter being much longer (568 nucleotides as compared to 164 nucleotides in human). The record is from Ensembl.
AUAUUUACCUUGCAGGGGAGAUACCGUGACCAAGAAGGCGGUUCACCCAGGGCGAGGCUCAGUCAUUGCACUUCGACUGCUGAACCCUGCCAAUUCCCCAAAUGUGGGAAUCUCGACUGCAUAAUUUCUGGUAGUGGGGGACUGCGUUCGUGCUCUCCCCUG